UGGGGAAUUUUGGACAAUGGGGGAAACCCUGAUCCAGCCAUCCCGGCGUGUGCGAUGAAGGCCUUCGGGUUGUAAAGCACUUUUGGCAGGAAAGAGACGUCAUGGGUUAAUACCCCGUGAAACUGACGGUACCUGCAGAAUAAGCACCGGCUAACUACGUGCCAGCAGCCGCGGUAAUACGUAGGGUGCAAGCGUUAAUCGGAAUUACUGGGCGUAAAGCGUGCGCAGGCGGUUCGGAAAGAAAGAUGUGAAAUCCCAGAGCUUAACUUUGGAACUGCAUUUUUAACUACCGGGCUAGAGUGUGUCAGAGGGAGGUGGAAUUCCCGCGUGUAGGCAGUGAAAUGCGUAGAUAUGCGGGAGGAACACCCGAUGGCGAAGGCAGCCUCCUGGGAUAACACUGACGCUCAUGCACGAAAGCGUGGGGAGCAAACAGGAUUAGAUACCCUGGUAGUCCACGCCCUAAACGAUGUCAACUAGCUGUUGGGGCCUUCGGGCCUUGGUAGCGCAGCUAACGCGUGAAGUUGACCGCCUGGGGAGUACGGUCGCAAGAUUA
Molecule: ribosomal RNA, 553 nt
Filed under: uncultured bacterium
Lineage: Bacteria
Description: bacterial SSU rRNA
Rfam family: Bacterial small subunit ribosomal RNA
Source: RNAcentral